GAGUUUGAUCUUGGCUCAGGACGAACGCUGGCGGCGUGCUUAACACAUGCAAGUCGAACGAGAAUCUACUGAAAGAGUUUUCGGACAAUGGAAGUAGAGGAAAGUGGCGGACGGGUGAGUAACGCGUGAGGAACCUGCCUUGAAGAGGGGACAACAGUUGGAAACGACUGCUAAUACCGCAUGAUGCGUAAGGGUCGCAUGAUUCUUAUGCCAAAGAUUUAUCGCUUCAAGAUGGCCUCGCGUCUGAUUAGCUAGUUGGCGGGGUAACGGCCCACCAAGGCGACGAUCAGUAGCCGGACUGAGAGGUUGAACGGCCACAUUGGGGCUGAGAUACGGCCCAGACUCCUACGGGAGGCAGCAGUGGGGAAUAUUGGGCAAUGGGCGCAAGCCUGACCCAGCAACGCCGCGUGAAGGAGAAGGCUUUCGGUAUGUAAACUUCUAUCAGCAGGGAAGAAAAUGACGGUACCUGACUAAGAAGCCCGGCUAACUACGUGGCAGCAGCCGCAGUAAU
RNAcentral lists this ribosomal RNA (511 nucleotides) under uncultured microorganism. RNAcentral describes it as "bacterial SSU rRNA". It matches the Rfam family "Bacterial small subunit ribosomal RNA", at positions 9 to 524 of the family's 1533-position model. The record is from RNAcentral.